GACGAACGCUGGCGGCGUGCUUAACACAUGCAAGUCGAACGGAAAGGCCCUGCUUUUGUGGGGUGCUCGAGUGGCGAACGGGUGAGUAACACGUGAGUAACCUGCCCUUGGCUUUGGGAUAACUUCAGGAAACUGGGGCUAAUACCGGAUAGGAGCUCCUGCUGCAUGGUGGGGGUUGGAAAGUUUCGGCGGUUGGGGAUGGACUCGCGGCUUAUCAGCUUGUUGGUGGGGUAGUGGCUUACCAAGGCUUUGACGGGUAGCCGGCCUGAGAGGGUGACCGGCCACAUUGGGACUGAGAUACGGCCCAGACUCCUACGGGAGGCAGCAGUGGGGAAUAUUGCACAAUGGGCGGAAGCCUGAUGCAGCAACGCCGCGUGCGGGAUGACGGCCUUCGGGUUGUAAACCGCUUUCGCCUGUGACGAAGCGUGAGUGACGGUAAUGAGUAAAGAAGCACCGGCUAACUACGUG
RNAcentral lists this ribosomal RNA (468 nucleotides) under uncultured bacterium. Its description in RNAcentral is "partial 16S ribosomal RNA". It matches the Rfam family "Bacterial small subunit ribosomal RNA", at positions 28 to 507 of the family's 1533-position model. The record is from RNAcentral.